CUCCUACGGGGGGCAGCAGUGGUUAAUCUUGCACCCUUUUUUCCACCCUGAUGCAGCAACGCCGCGUGAGUGAUGACGGCCUUCGGGUUGUAAAGCUCUGUCUUCAGGGACGAUAAUGACGGUACCUGAGGAGGAAGCCACGGCUAACUACGUGCCAGCAGCCGCGGUAAUACGUAGGUGGCGAGCGUUGUCCGGAUUUACUGGGCGUAAAGGGAGCGUAGGCGGACUUUUAAGUGAGAUGUGAAAUACUCGGGCUCAACUUGAGUGCUGCAUUUU
Molecule: ribosomal RNA, 276 nt
Filed under: uncultured bacterium
Lineage: Bacteria
Description: partial 16S ribosomal RNA
Rfam family: Bacterial small subunit ribosomal RNA
Source: RNAcentral